RNAcentral lists this long non-coding RNA (719 nucleotides) under Homo sapiens (human). RNAcentral's name for it is "non-protein coding lnc-PBX3-3:2". Lineage: Eukaryota; Metazoa; Chordata; Mammalia; Primates; Hominidae. The record is from RNAcentral.
ACUAGUAAGGGCAAGGCUAGGAUCGGCAUCCAAGCGAUCUGGCUCACAGCCCACCAUGCUGUCACCUACUGCACUAUAGCAGUGGCUGAAUGUCAGCCUUAAGACAGUGAGAUUCACAGGUUAAACCAACACCAGAUUCCCCAGCCUCAAUCUUUCAGCAGAGGGUUGGAAAGGGCAUGGACUUUAAAGUCAGGGAUGGCGUCAAAUCCAGGCCUAAGAACAAUAUUGCUCACCCUCAGGUUCCACGCCUCUAAAUUGUUCAUAAUGUCAAGUAAAAAUAACACAAAAAUAUGUGUGCUACAAGUGAAACUGAGUAACAUAUACACACGAUUAUUAUACAAGAUUAAAAAUAGUUAAGAUGGAGGCAUCAUUGGCCAACUUUUCAAUUAUUUUAAAUAUCCUUUAAAGUUAUUUUAGUACCUCUGAAAUGAAAAAGCAGGAAAAAAUUUGCUGUUAUUUACACCAAACUUGACCUUGUAGUAGGGAUGAAACGGCCACCAUGAAAGCCUGAGGGCCCACUCCCCAGCUUACCCCCAGGUACUCAGUUAUUCUUUCUUUGCUCAAGGGUAGAAAGAGCCAAAAUACUCAUAUAUCAUAUGUAGCAUAACCCUAUUUUCUGUAACAAUCUCAAACAAAGGCAGUAUGUUGAGAGAGACAGGGAAAUGUCUUCUAAAGCAAUCCCUUUUGAGCAGUGAAUUUGCUGGUUACUAACAGCAGGG